AUCCAGCUGACGAGUCCUAAAUAGAAUGAAAUGCGCGUUUUGGAU
Schistosoma haematobium is the source of this 45-nucleotide non-coding RNA. The record is from Rfam. Lineage: Eukaryota; Metazoa; Platyhelminthes; Trematoda; Strigeidida; Schistosomatidae.